UAUUGCAGCUGUCUCUCACAGACCUUAUUUGACCUCAGAAACUAAGCAGUGCUGGGCAUGGUUAGUCCUUGGAUGGGGAACUGCCUGGGAAUACCAGCUGCCAUAA
Molecule: ribosomal RNA, 106 nt
Filed under: Salvator merianae (Argentine black and white tegu)
Lineage: Eukaryota; Metazoa; Chordata; Lepidosauria; Squamata; Teiidae
Source: RNAcentral